GACGAACGCUGGCGGCGUGCUUAACACAUGCAAGUCGAACGGAAAGGCCCUGCUUGCAGGGUACUCGAGUGGCGAACGGGUGAGUAACACGUGGGUGAUCUGCCCUGCACUUCGGGAUAAGCCUGGGAAACUGGGUCUAAUACCGGAUAGGAGCCAUUUUUAGUGUGAUGGUUGGAAAGGUUUUUCGGUGUAGGAUGAGCUCGCGGCCUAUCAGCUUGUUGGUGGGGUAAUGGCCUACCAAGGCGGCGACGGGUAGCCGGCCUGAGAGGGUGGACGGCCACAUUGGGACUGAGAUACGGCCCAGACUCCUACGGGAGGCAGCAGUGGGGAAUAUUGCACAAUGGGCGCAAGCCUGAUGCAGCGACGCCGCGUGGGGGAUGACGGCCUUCGGGUUGUAAACUCCUUUCGCUAGGGACGAAGCUUUUUGUGACGGUACCUAGAUAAGAAGCACCGGCUAACUACGUG
RNAcentral lists this ribosomal RNA (465 nucleotides) under uncultured bacterium. RNAcentral's name for it is "partial 16S ribosomal RNA". It matches the Rfam family "Bacterial small subunit ribosomal RNA", at positions 28 to 507 of the family's 1533-position model. The record is from RNAcentral.